UCAAAACAGGUGAAAGAGGUAAUGAAACUAA
Molecule: non-coding RNA, 31 nt
Filed under: Mus musculus (house mouse)
Lineage: Eukaryota; Metazoa; Chordata; Mammalia; Rodentia; Muridae
Source: RNAcentral